This 255-nucleotide ribosomal RNA is filed under the name Escherichia coli. RNAcentral describes it as "partial 23S ribosomal RNA". It matches the Rfam family "Bacterial large subunit ribosomal RNA", at positions 1132 to 1385 of the family's 2925-position model. The record is from RNAcentral. Lineage: Bacteria; Pseudomonadati; Pseudomonadota; Gammaproteobacteria; Enterobacterales; Enterobacteriaceae.
GCGUAAUAGCUCACUGGUCGAGUCGGCCUGCGCGGAAGAUGUAACGGGGCUAAACCAUGCACCGAAGCUGCGGCAGCGACGCUGAUGCGUUGUUGGGUAGGGGAGCGUUCUGUAAGCCUGCGAAGGUAUGCUGUGAGGCAUGCUGGAGGUAUCAGAAGUGCGAAUGCUGACAUAAGUAACGAUAAAGCGGGUGAAAAGCCCGCUCGCCGGAAGACCAAGGGUUCCUGUCCAACGUUAAUCGGGGCAGGGUGAGUC